RNAcentral lists this ribosomal RNA (253 nucleotides) under uncultured bacterium. RNAcentral's name for it is "partial 16S ribosomal RNA". It matches the Rfam family "Bacterial small subunit ribosomal RNA", at positions 524 to 776 of the family's 1533-position model. The record is from RNAcentral.
UACGUAGGGUGCAAGCGUUAUCCGGAAUCAUUGGGCGUAAAGAGUUCGUAGGUGGCUUGGAAAGUUUUUAGUUAAAUCUGGUCGCUCAACGAUCAACCCGCUAAAAAUACUCUCAAGCUUGAGAUUGACAGAGGUAACUGGAAUUCCACAUGUAGGGGUAAAAUCCGUUGAUAUGUGGAGGAACACCAAAAGCGAAGGCAGGUUACUGGGUCAUUUCUGACACUGAGGAACGAAAGCGUGGGGAGCAAACAGG